GAUGAACGCUAGCGGCAGGCCUAACACAUGCAAGUCGAGGGGGAAGUUACUUUCGGGUGACUGAGACCGGCGUACGGGUGCGUAACGCGUAUACAAUCUGCCUUUCACUGGGGGAUAGCCCGAAGAAAUUUGGAUUAAUACCCCAUAGUAUAUAGGUACGGCAUCGUUUUUAUCUUAAAGCUUAGGUGGUGAAAGAUGAGUAUGCGUUCUAUUAGCUAGUUGGAGAGGUAACGGCUCCCCAAGGCGAUGAUAGAUAGGGGUUCUGAGAGGGAUGUCCCCCACACUGGUACUGAGAUACGGACCAGACUCCUACGGGGGGCAGCAGUGAGGAAUAUUGGACAAUGGUCGGAAGACUGAUCCAGCCAUGCCGCGUGCAGGAUGAAGGUCUUAUGGAUUGUAAACUGCUUUUGUAAGGGAAGAAUAAGGGCUACGCGUAGUUUGAUGACGGUACCUUACGAAUAAGCAUCGGCUAACUCCGUG
Molecule: ribosomal RNA, 480 nt
Filed under: uncultured bacterium
Lineage: Bacteria
Description: partial 16S ribosomal RNA
Rfam family: Bacterial small subunit ribosomal RNA
Source: RNAcentral